This 1148-nucleotide ribosomal RNA is filed under the name uncultured fungus. RNAcentral's name for it is "eukaryotic LSU rRNA". The stretch from base 515 to 1148 matches the Rfam family "Eukaryotic large subunit ribosomal RNA", at positions 1 to 649 of the family's 3401-position model. Lineage: Eukaryota; Fungi. The record is from RNAcentral.
AAGUCGUAACAAGGUUUCCGUAGGUGAACCUGCGGAAGGAUCAUUACUGAGAAAAGAGGCCUCCGGGCUUCCCUCAUUAAUACCCCGCCUUCCAACAAAGUCCCUCUGGGGACGCACUUCAUGUUGGAGGGUCUGAAAAUGACCCUCCGCCCCCUAUAAAACUCUGAAUGUUUGUGCAGUCUGAGUAAUAUAUUCUAAUAUAUGAAAACUUUCAACAACGGAUCUCUUGGUUCCCGCAUCGAUGAAGAACGCAGCGAAAUGCGAUAAGUAAUGUGAAUUGCAGAAUUCAGUGAAUCAUCGAAUCUUUGAACGCACAUUGCACCCUUUGGCAUUCCGAGGGGUAUGCCUGUUCGAGCGUCAUUUAUACCUCAAGCCCUAGGCUUGGUGAUGGGCUUUGCCAGUUAGGCAUGCCUGAAAAUCAGAGGCAGUGAAGCCUGAGUGCGGAAGCGUAGUGAUAAUUUUAUAACCGCUUAGGCCUCGGGUGAAGCUUGCAGAACACCAAAACUCUUGUUUUUGACCUCGGAUCAGGUAGGGAUACCCGCUGAACUUAAGCAUAUCAAUAAGCGGAGGAAAAGAAACCAACUGGGAUUGCCUCAGUAACGGCGAGUGAAGCGGCAUCAGCUCAGAUUUGAAAUCUGGUUCUUUCAGAGCCCGAGUUGUAAUCUGUAGAGGAGUCUUCGGGUUUGGAUCUGGCCUAAGUUUCUUGGAACAGAACGUCAUAGAGGGUGAGAGUCCCGUAUGAGGCCAGCUACCUAUUCCCAUGUGAAGCUUCUUCGACGAGUCGAGUUGUUUGGGAAUGCAGCUCAAAAUGGGUGGUAAAUUUCAUCUAAAGCUAAAUAUUGGCGGGAGACCGAUAGCGCACAAGUAGAGUGAUCGAGAGAUGAAAAGCACUUUGAAAAGAGAGUUAAAAAGUACGUGAAAUUGUUGAAAGGGAAACGCUUGCGAUUAGACUUGCGCUCAGGUGAUCAACCGGUGUUCUCACCGGUGCACUCUCCUGUUUGCAGGCCAGCAUCGGUUUGGGCGGUUGGAUAAAGGCCCCAGGAAUGUAGCUGCUCUCGGGCAGUGUUAUGGCCUAGGGUGCAAUGCAGCCAGCCUGGACCGAGGACCGCGCUUCGGCUAGGAUGCUGGCAUAAUGGUCGUAAGCGACC